AUUGAACGCUGGCGGCAGGCCUAACACAUGCAAGUCGAACGAGUGGCGGACGGGUGAGUAAUGUCUGGGAAACCGCCUGAUGGAGGGGGAUAACUACUGGAAACGGUAGCUAAUACCGCAUACCAUCGGAUGUGCCCAUAUGGGAUUAGCUAGUAGGGGGGGUAAAGGCUCACCUAGGCGACGAUCCCUAGCUGGUCUGAGAGGGUGACCGGCCAGCCUGGAAGUGAGACACGGUCCGAACUCCUACGGGAGGCGGCAGUGGGGAAUAUUGCACAAUGGGCGCAGGCCUAAUGCAGCCAUACCGCGUGUAUGAAGAAGGCCUUCGGGUUGUAAAGUACUUUCAGCGGGGAGGCGUUACCCGCAGAAGAAGCACCGGCUAACUCCGUGCCAGCAGCCGCGGUAAUUC
RNAcentral lists this ribosomal RNA (406 nucleotides) under uncultured bacterium. RNAcentral describes it as "partial 16S ribosomal RNA". It matches the Rfam family "Bacterial small subunit ribosomal RNA", at positions 30 to 526 of the family's 1533-position model. The record is from RNAcentral.